Molecule: ribosomal RNA, 251 nt
Filed under: uncultured prokaryote
Description: partial 16S rRNA
Rfam family: Bacterial small subunit ribosomal RNA
Source: RNAcentral
ACGUAGGUGGCAAGCGUUGUCCGGAUUUACUGGGCGUAAAGAGCGCGCAGGCGGUCGUUCAAGUCGCGUGUGAAAGCCCCCGGCUCAACUGGGGAGGGUCACGCGAUACUGAUCGACUCGAAGGCAGGAGAGGGUAGUGGAAUUCCCGGUGUAGUGGUGAAAUGCGUAGAUAUCGGGAGGAACACCAGUGGCGAAGGCGACUACCUGGCCUGUUCUUGACGCUGAGGCGCGAAAGCUAGGGGAGCAAACGG